RNAcentral lists this long non-coding RNA (629 nucleotides) under Malus domestica (apple). RNAcentral describes it as "long non-coding RNA (MDOM_LNC005020)". Lineage: Eukaryota; Viridiplantae; Streptophyta; Magnoliopsida; Rosales; Rosaceae. The record is from RNAcentral.
CAAUCAUUGCUGGCAUAUAAGUCGGAGUCAACUAUAAAUGACCAGUAUGACUUAUCCGUAUCUCAUCACAUAUCUCAUCAAUCUACUAGCCGGAGUCACCUCACAUGACUUGUACGGCUGAAUCAAUAUCUCAUCAACAUACUCACUACCAUCACUAUCAUCAACAUGUACUCACCUGAAGCUUACUUGGGCGUUCGCAGCAUCAUUUGGCACUUCGAAGCAUUCACAAUAAUUAGGUUCAGGUAAUACACAUAUGAAUAUGUCAUGAUGCAAUCUAGAACUCAACUAUAACAUAGUAUUUUCAAGUAUAUAUAUAACAUGGCGUGAAAUGCAUAAUCUGUAAGUCCCAUUUCCAAACUAUUUAUUUUCGGGGAUAAUUAUCGGUGAUAAGCCCAAUUAGACACUAGUUUAAUUAAUUAACAUAAAUUACGUUUCCUUACUUCAAUUCCUUGAUUCUUCACACAUUGAUUUAUGAACAACAAUUAACUACCAAAUCAUAAGGUUAAUUCUCACAUUUUCCACCAAUGUCCCUCACAUUGUUCAAUUCCCCAAACAAGGAUAUUGUCUUAAUUAUUUAGUCUCAUUUAUUAUAUGGCUGCAUCUAACGUCUUGUUAGACUGCCUACAUAC